RNAcentral lists this ribosomal RNA (444 nucleotides) under uncultured bacterium. RNAcentral describes it as "bacterial SSU rRNA". It matches the Rfam family "Bacterial small subunit ribosomal RNA", at positions 331 to 792 of the family's 1533-position model. The record is from RNAcentral.
CCAGACUCCUACGGGAGGCAGCAGUGGGGGAUAUUGCACAAUGGGGGGAACCCUGAUGCAGCGACGCCGCGUGGGUGAAGAAGCGCCUCGGCGCGUAAAGCCCUGUCAGCAGGGAAGAAAAUGACGGUACCUGAAGAAGAAGCCCCGGCUAACUACGUGCCAGCAGCCGCGGUAAUACGUAGGGGGCAAGCGUUAUCCGGAUUUACUGGGUGUAAAGGGGGCGCAGACGGCGAUGCAAGCCAGGAGUGAAAGCUAGGGGCUCAACCCCUAAACUGCGCUUGAAACUGUGGAGCUUGAGUGAAGUAGAGGCAGGCGGAAUUCCCGGUGUAGCGGUGAAAUGCGUAGAGAUCGGGAGGAACACCAGUGGCGAAGGCGGCCUGCUGGGCUUUAACUGACGCUCAGGCACGAAAGCAUGGGUAGCAAACAGGAUUAGAUACCCCGGUA